CAGAGAUGCCCGGGCAUUUCACAUUCCCCAAACAAGAGGCGGAGGCGCUGGGCGCCUCCGCCUUUUUCCUGGUCCUC
RNAcentral lists this unclassified non-coding RNA (77 nucleotides) under Microvirga guangxiensis. RNAcentral's name for it is "suhB". Lineage: Bacteria; Pseudomonadati; Pseudomonadota; Alphaproteobacteria; Hyphomicrobiales; Methylobacteriaceae. The record is from RNAcentral.